ACGCUCGACACCUACGGGGGCAGCAGUGGGGAAUAUUGCACAAUGGGGGAAACCCUGAUGCAGCGACGCCGCGUGGAGGAAGAAGGUCUUCGGAUUGUAAACUCCUGUUGUUGGGGAAAAAGNGGAUGGUACCCAACAAGGAAGUGACGGCUAACUACGUGUCCAGCAGCCGGCGGUAAUCUGAGGCGGGCUGGCAAGGC
This 200-nucleotide ribosomal RNA is filed under the name uncultured bacterium. RNAcentral's name for it is "partial 16S ribosomal RNA". It matches the Rfam family "Bacterial small subunit ribosomal RNA", at positions 328 to 539 of the family's 1533-position model. The record is from RNAcentral.